ACUAAUUCCAACAAAAUAAUAAUAUUUUAAUAUAUCAUACACGUUAAAAAAUAAAUAUAUGAUAUAUUACAAUAAUCUACGUUAAAAAAUAAAUAGAAAACAAAAUAAUAAUAAUACUACAAUAUAAUACAGACAAAAUAAAAAUAAAAUAUAACGCUGUAUAAAUUUAAAGAGUAUUAUUUUAUAAAAAUCAAAAUUUCCGGUAUUUCCGCAAAAAAUUCUUAUUGAUUUGAAAUGCUUGAAAGUUAUACAAUAAUUUAUGUAUACAGUAAAAAAGUCAAAAGUGUAACAAUUAAUAAAUAAUUAAAGAAAAGUUGUUCACAGACAGAAAAAGAAAUAAAUAAAAAAAACUCACAUAGUAAAACCAAUAGAUCCCUCACUACGCACCGAAUCUAAAAUUAAGUGUAAUGUAGUAUUUUGUUUAUAAAAGUUUUACUAUUAAAUUUGAUUGAAUAUCGUACAUAUUCGUGCUUUUCAAAACGUGUAUAACCGAACUUCGUUUCGAAUCGCUUUUCGUUUGCAAUGGUUUAUCGUUGCUUACAGAUAUAAAUUUAAUAACUUUAUGUUCCUAUCUUUUAAAUUUUCCACCUAUAACUGCAUACAAUAUCAGCUUGUACAGGUUGUCCCACGAAGAUAUACCUAUUGUAAUAUUAUCUCCGGAGAUAAUAAAGAUAAAUAAAUUGUUUUUUUUUUUUUUUUAUAUUACUUACUGGGAUUAGGACUUCAACAUUUAUAUUGUAAUUAAUUUUUUAUGGUUUGGUAAAAGAUUAAAAAAAUUACUUUAUUUUAUUAUUUUAAAUUUUUUAUCAAAGC
This is a non-coding RNA of Cinara cedri, 813 nucleotides long. NCBI's taxonomy places the organism in Eukaryota, Metazoa, Arthropoda, Insecta, Hemiptera, Aphididae. The record is from the annotation of a GenBank genome assembly.